GUUGGGCCUGCUCGGUGAGAAGAAAAAUUUAACAGCUGCGGUAUUAUAACUGUACUAAGGUAGCAUAAUAAUUUGCCUUAUAAAUUAAGGCUAGAAUGAAUGGUUUGACGAAAAUUAGACUGUCUUUAUUUUAUUUGUUAGAAAUUAAUUUUUAUAGUGAAAAAGCUUGAAUAAUUUAAGGGGACGAGAAGCCCCUAUUGAGCUUUAUUUAUUAAUAUUUAAAUAUAAAUAUAUAAUUUAUAUUAUGAAAAUUAUGUUGUAUAUAUAUAUAUAUUUAAUUGGAUUUAAUUUUGAUUGGGGUGAUCAAGGAAUAAAGAUAAAGUAACUUCCUUAAAAUUAAUGAUUGUUUUUAUAGAGUAAUAAACCAAGUUUUUUGCUUAUAAGAUAAGUUACCAUAGGGGUAACAGCGUAAUUUUUUUUGAGAGUUCAUAUUGAAAAAAGAGAUUGCGACCUCGAUGUUGGAUUAAAAAUUACCUUAAGG
Molecule: ribosomal RNA, 481 nt
Filed under: Callistoctopus minor (long arm octopus)
Lineage: Eukaryota; Metazoa; Mollusca; Cephalopoda; Octopoda; Octopodidae
Description: partial 16S ribosomal RNA
Rfam family: Bacterial large subunit ribosomal RNA
Source: RNAcentral